This 460-nucleotide ribosomal RNA is filed under the name uncultured bacterium. RNAcentral's name for it is "partial 16S ribosomal RNA". It matches the Rfam family "Bacterial small subunit ribosomal RNA", at positions 338 to 795 of the family's 1533-position model. The record is from RNAcentral.
CCUACGGGCGUCAGCAGUGAGGAAUAUUGGUCAAUGGACGGGAGUCUGAACCAGCCAUGCCGCGUGCAGGAAGACGGCUCUAUGAGUUGUAAACUGCUUUUGUACAAGGGUAAACCUGAAUACGUGUAUUCAGCUGAAAGUACUGUACGAAUAAGGAUCGGCUAACUCCGUGCCAGCAGCCGCGGUAAUACGGAGGAUCCAAGCGUUAUCCGGAUUUAUUGGGUUUAAAGGGUGCGUAGGUGGAUUGAUAAGGUAGAGGUGAAAGUUCCGAGCUUAACUCGGGAAUUGCCUCUAAUACUGGUGACCUAGAGAGUAGAUGCGGUAGGCGGAAUGCAUGGUGUAGCGGUGAAAUGCUUAGAGAUCACACAGAACACCGAUUGCGAAGGCAGCCUACCAAUCUACAUCUGACGUUGAGGCACGAAAGCGUGGGUAGCAAACAGGAUUAGAUACCCUUGUAGUC